This 433-nucleotide ribosomal RNA is filed under the name uncultured bacterium. RNAcentral's name for it is "partial 16S ribosomal RNA". It matches the Rfam family "Bacterial small subunit ribosomal RNA", at positions 29 to 507 of the family's 1533-position model. The record is from RNAcentral.
AACGAACGCUGGCGGCAUGCCUAACACAUGCAAGUCGAACGAGACCUUCGGGUCUAGUGGCGCACGGGUGCGUAACGCGUGGGAACCUGCCCUUAGGUUCGGAAUAACUCCCCGAAAGGGGUGCUAAUACCGGAUAAUGUCUUCGGACCAAAGAUUUAUCGCCUUUGGAUGGGCCCGCGUUGGAUUAGCUAGUUGGUAGGGUAAAAGCCUACCAAGGCGACGAUCCAUAGCUGGUCUGAGAGGAUGAUCAGCCACACUGGGACUGAGACACGGCCCAGACUCCUACGGGAGGCAGCAGUGGGGAAUAUUGGACAAUGGGCGAAAGCCUGAUCCAGCAAUGCCGCGUGAGUGAUGAAGGCCUUAGGGUUGUAAAGCUCUUUCACCCGGGAUGAUAAUGACAGUACCGGGAGAAUAAGCGCCGGCUAACUCCGUG